GAGUCAGAAUUUGAGCAGCAGAAAUGCUUAGGUAAGAGAGAAGACAAAUUAACUUGUCAAAUCCUUCAUCUCAGCUUGAAUGCUAUAGAUUCCUGCAUGACAAAGUAUUGUUUCUCAGUAGUAUCAAGCAUACAUUUUCCUUUUGUUAGUGUUCCAAUGUGUGGCUAUUACCUACAGACAAUUUAGUAUAGUAUUCACAAUAGUUACUGGCCUUCAUUCGCAUUCUUCUGCUCCCCUUAAAUUUAGGAGUAGAUCUGGAAUGAAAAUAAGUAUUCUGAGUAUUUCAGGUAUUUGCAAGGUUCAUUAGGGCCGAAACACCAUAUCCUGUAAUUGCCUGAUGUUUAAGUUGUGGAACUUUAUAGUAAACAGUGAUUAAGGUGACUAAAUUUCAGACAAGACUGUGUAGUAUAGGAAGAGCGUGGAUGGUAUCAGCCUCCUUCUGCACUCUCAAGUGAGGUUUCCAGGGAUGAACAUACAUUCUGGCAGAGCAUAGAUAAGCUCCUGAGUGGGUAGUGCUGGGUGGGGUUACAGGCAUGAGCCACCGAGCUUAUAUGCGUUAAAGUGUUUGUGCCACACUCUCUUAGACUUUGCUUAUCAAAAUGUAUUUCAUUUUGAAAUUAUUAAAAACCAACAUAGAUAA
Molecule: long non-coding RNA, 640 nt
Organism: Homo sapiens (human)
Lineage: Eukaryota; Metazoa; Chordata; Mammalia; Primates; Hominidae
Source: Ensembl